Molecule: unclassified non-coding RNA, 408 nt
Filed under: uncultured fungus
Lineage: Eukaryota; Fungi
Description: partial contains small subunit ribosomal RNA, internal transcribed spacer 1, and 5.8S ribosomal RNA
Rfam family: Eukaryotic small subunit ribosomal RNA (bases 1-73)
Source: RNAcentral
UCAAACUUGGUCAUUUAGAGGAAGUAAAAGUCGUAACAAGGUUUCCGUAGGUGAACCUGCGGAAGGAUCAUUAACACAUCAUUUCAAUAUAUACAUCGUAGCACAGAUAGAUACCGACGGAGUGACGUCGAUCGAGAUUGGUUAGAGCUCCUACGGAGCUGUCUCGGUUGAUUGCUGCCGGGUGCUAACGAGGCUGUUUUCAGUCUCGGAGGCAUGCUCAUCGGCCAGAAUCACAAUGUCGGUAAUUCAGCCUCUACCAGGCUGGCCUUUUUUUCAAACCUGAACUUUAACUGAUUUCGGCUUCGGAUCGAGAGGAGCAAUCCUUUCUCUGGGGUCUUCGGAUUUUUAAUCCAAAACACAACUCUUAACAGCGGAUAUCUCGGUUCUCGUAACGAUGAAGAACGCAGC